This 429-nucleotide ribosomal RNA is filed under the name Bacteroidota bacterium. RNAcentral's name for it is "Bacteroidetes bacterium partial 16S ribosomal RNA". It matches the Rfam family "Bacterial small subunit ribosomal RNA", at positions 355 to 776 of the family's 1533-position model. The record is from RNAcentral. Lineage: Bacteria; Pseudomonadati; Bacteroidota.
UAGGGAAUCUUCCGCAAUGGACGCAAGUCUGACGGAGCAACGCCGCGUGAGUGAAGAAGGAUUUCGGUUCGUAAAACUCUGUUGUUAGAGAAGAACAGCGCAUAGAGUAACUGUUAUGCGUGUGACGGUAUCUAACCAGAAAGCCACGGCUAACUACGUGCCAGCAGCCGCGGUAAUACGUAGGUGGCAAGCGUUGUCCGGAUUUAUUGGGCGUAAAGCGAGCGCAGGCGGUCAAUUAAGUCUGAUGUGAAAGCACCCGGCUCAACCGGGGAGGGUCAUUGGAAACUGGUUGACUUGAGUGCAGAAGAGGAGAGUGGAAUUCCAUGUGUAGCGGUGAAAUGCGUAGAUAUAUGGAGGAACACCGGUGGCGAAAGCGGCUCUCUGGUCUGUAACUGACGCUGAGGCUCGAAAGCGUGGGGAGCGAACAGG